CCCCAGCAGGCGGGUCAAUAAUGCAGNUCGAGCGCAGGAACUGACGGAACUCUUCGGAGGGAAGGCAGCGGAAUGAGCGGCGGACGGGUGAGUAACACGUAAGGAACCUGCCUCAAGGAUUGGGAUAACUCCGAGAAAUCGGAGCUAAUACCGGAUAGUUCAUCGGACCGCAUGGUCCGCUGAUGAAAGGCGCUUCGGCGUCACCUUGAGAUGGCCUUGCGGUGCAUUAGCUAGUUGGUGGGGUAACGGCCCACCAAGGCGACGAUGCAUAGCCGACCUGAGAGGGUGAUCGGCCACACUGGGACUGAGACACGGCCCAGACUCCUACGGGAGGCAGCAGUAGGGAAUCUUCCACAAUGGACGAAAGUCUGAUGGAGCAACGCCGCGUGAGUGAUGAAGGUUUUCGGAUCGUAAAACUCUGUUGUAAGGGAAGAACACGUACGAGAGGAAAUGCUCGUACCUUGACGGUACCUUACGAGAAAGCCACGGCUAACUACGUGCCAGCAGCGNNCGGUAAUAAAA
RNAcentral lists this ribosomal RNA (522 nucleotides) under Exiguobacterium sp. LCR6. RNAcentral's name for it is "bacterial SSU rRNA". It matches the Rfam family "Bacterial small subunit ribosomal RNA", at positions 36 to 528 of the family's 1533-position model. Lineage: Bacteria; Bacillati; Bacillota; Bacilli; Caryophanales. The record is from RNAcentral.